Molecule: long non-coding RNA, 164 nt
Organism: Drosophila navojoa
Lineage: Eukaryota; Metazoa; Arthropoda; Insecta; Diptera; Drosophilidae
Source: RefSeq, a predicted model, not a curated record
AAGCUAACAAAUAUCACAUUUUCGGUUAACCCAUUUCAAUGUCAAGUGCAUUGUGCAUCAAUGCAAACACCAUUAUCGUGUUGGCCAUUAGCUGGCUGGCUGGCUAACUGAGCCCCAUUGUUGCCACGGACAAGCUGUAUUAAAAACAAAUUACAAAGUUAACC